AGAUUGAACGCUGGCGGCAGGCCUAACACAUGCAAGUCGAGCGGUAGAGAGGUGCUUGCACCUCUUGAGAGCGGCGGACGGGUGAGUAAUGCCUAGGAAUCUGCCUAGUGGUGGGGGAUAACGUUCGGAAACGGACGCUAAUACCGCAUACGUCCUACGGGAGAAAGGCGGGGGACCUUCGGGCCUCGCGCCAUUAGAUGAG
Molecule: ribosomal RNA, 202 nt
Filed under: uncultured soil bacterium
Lineage: Bacteria
Description: partial 16S ribosomal RNA
Rfam family: Bacterial small subunit ribosomal RNA
Source: RNAcentral